Balaenoptera ricei (Rice's whale) is the source of this 1721-nucleotide long non-coding RNA. RefSeq lists it as uncharacterized. The transcript has 3 exons. NCBI's taxonomy places the organism in Eukaryota, Metazoa, Chordata, Mammalia, Artiodactyla, Balaenopteridae. The record is from RefSeq and is a predicted model, not a curated record.
CAAUGCGAGCUGAGCAGACAGGGCUGCAAGGAAAUCUGGCGCGGUUCAAUACCUCAUCUAGUCUGGGUUCCAGUAUCUAAUUUUUUUUUACUGACAAACUCAUUUCUCUACCGGGACAGGAUGCUGUGCUGGCUGGGAGUUCCAUUUCUACAGCAAGAAUCCUAUCUGGAAACAGAGAAGUUGUCCUCUAAGCCACAGCAGCUCGAACUUUUUUGAUUGUUGUUGCUGCUUUCUCCCAUCACCCCCACCCCCUUUUGACAAAGAUCCAACUGUAAAAAGUCUUACGUAACAGUUCAGGACUACUUCGGUUCUUUUACUGGUAUAUCAAGAGGCCUCAAGAGGACUAUGAAAACAUUUACAUCUCCAACUCAGAGCAAUGUGGGUUUCACAAUAUUUCGUAGUUACCUCUGGAAAAGGAAAGAAAGGAGUACAGUGGGUCCUCCGUAUCCAAGAUGUGGAGGACCAACGAUACUGCACCAUUUUAUAUAAGGGACUUGAGCAUCCUCGGAUUCUGGUGUCCAAGGAGGAUCCUGGAAUCAAUUCCUGUGGAUACCGAGGGACAACUGUAAAUAGCUGAGGCAAAACAGUAGAGUAAAAAAGAAAUAAAUGGUUUGGGAUAGUAUGGAGUUAGAAAACCUGAAUUUAAUUCCAAUUUCUACCAUGGUUAUGUGUUCUUGGACAAGUGAGUCACCUCUUAAGCCUUAAUUCUCCAUGAAAAGAGACUAAGUAUACCUCUCCUAUCUUCACAGUAUUGUUGUGAGGCCUCAGAGAGAGCACAGUGAAAAAAUGUGCUGCAAACAGCACACCGCAGUACAGCCCAAUGCAUCCUGGUCUUUGACGGUACUACUCCAUGGCUUAUCCCCACUUUUAGUAGAUAAGAUUCCCUGACUCCCCAAACUCUCACCUACUUGUCAACCAGAAGCACGUAUUUGCAAGAUGUCUAGCUGAGGUUAUUAAUCUAUAACCUGGGGCUGAAUGCAGGCAUUUUUCUGUAUAUAUGUGUCACCAGCAUAGACAGUCCAUCAGAGCCACAAUCUAUUUAUUUAGGUCUUUGUAAACUUCUCUCAGAAAUAUUUUAGUUUUUAGUGUACAAAUCUUACACUUCUUUUGUUAAAUUUAUUCCUAAGUAUUUUAUUCUUUUGAUGCAAUCGUGAAUGGAAUUGUUUUCUCACUUUCAUUUCUGGACCGUUGCUAGCUAUAAAAAUACAACUGAUUUUUGUAUAUUGAUCUGGUAUCCUGUGACCUUGCUAAACUCAAUUAGUUCUACUUGUUUUGCGUUUUUUUUUGUGAAUUAUUUAGGAUUAUAUAUAGGAUUAUGUCACCUAUGAAUAAAAACAGUUUUAAGACAUCCAAUUUAGAUGCCUUCCUCCCUAACCCCCACAUUACUGUACUAGCUAGAACCUCCAGUGAAUGUUGAAAAGAAGUAGUAAGAGCACAUUCUUACCUACCUUAUUCCCAAUCUUAGGGGAAAGGUACUUAUAUUUACCCAAUUAAGUAUUAUGUUAGCUUUAGGCUCUUCAUAGAUGCCCUUGGUCAAAUUGCAGAAGUUGCCUUCUAUUCCUAGUUUGUUGGGAGAUUUUGAUCGUGAAUGGGUAUUGAAUUUUGUCAAAUGUUUUUCCUGUGUCUACUCAGAUGAUCAUGUGGGGCUUUUUAACCUUUAUUUUAUUAGACUUAUUUUAUGGCCCAGAAUACUCUUAGAGACUGUUUCAUGUGUACUUGAA